This 70-nucleotide transfer RNA is filed under the name Bupleurum boissieuanum. RNAcentral's name for it is "partial tRNA-Leu". Lineage: Eukaryota; Viridiplantae; Streptophyta; Magnoliopsida; Apiales; Apiaceae. The record is from RNAcentral.
AUAAAUUUCAUUGUUGCCGGUAAUGACAUGUAGAAUAGGACUCUAUCUUUAUUCUCGUCCGAUUAAUUAG